RNAcentral lists this ribosomal RNA (484 nucleotides) under uncultured bacterium. RNAcentral describes it as "partial 16S ribosomal RNA". It matches the Rfam family "Bacterial small subunit ribosomal RNA", at positions 30 to 507 of the family's 1533-position model. The record is from RNAcentral.
AUUGAACGCUGGCGGCAGGCCUAACACAUGCAAGUCGAGCGGAUGAGUGGAGCUUGCUCCGUGAUUCAGCGGCGGACGGGUGAGUAAUGCCUAGGAAUCUGCCUGGUAGUGGGGGACAACGUUUCGAAAGGAACGCUAAUACCGCAUACGUCCUACGGGAGAAAGUGGGGGAUCUUCGGACCUCACGCUAUCAGAUGAGCCUAGGUCGGAUUAGCUAGUUGGUGAGGUAAAGGCGCACCAAGGCGACGAUCCGUAACUGGUCUGAGAGGAUGAUCAGUCACACUGGAAGUGAGACACGGUCCAGACUGCUACGGGAGGCAGCAGUGGGGAAUAGUGGACAAUGGGGGAAAGCCUGAUCCAGCCAUGCCGCGUGUGUGAAGAAGGUCUUCGGAUGGUAAAGCACUUUAAGUUGGGAGGAAGGGCAGUAAGUUAAUACCUUGCUGUUUUGACGUUACCAACAGAAUAAGCACCGGCUAACUUCGUG